AGUGAACGCUGGCGGCAUGCCUAACACAUGCAAGUCGAACGGCAGCACAGGAAGAUCUUGCUCUUGCGGAUGGCGAGUGGCGGACGGGUGACAUAUGCAUAGGAAUCUACUUUUUCGUGGGGGAGAAGGAAGGGAAACUUAUACUACUACCGCAUACGACCUACGGGUGGGAGCAGUGGAUCUUCGGCGCUUUCGCGUUUGAAUGAGCCGAUUUCGGAUUAGCUAGUUGGUGGGGUAAAGGCACACCAAGGCGACGAUCCGUAGCUGGUCUGAGAGGAUGAUCAGCCACACUGGAACUGAGACACGGUCCAGACUCCUACGGGAGGCAGCAGUGGGGAAUAUUGGACAAUGGGCGAAAGCCUGAUCCAGCAAUGCCGCGUGUGUGAAGAAGGCCUUCGGGUUGUAAAGCCCUUUUGUUGGGAAAGAAAAGCUGCGGGUUAAUACGCUGGUGUUCUGACGGUACCGAAAGAAUAAGCACCGGCUAACUACGUG
Molecule: ribosomal RNA, 492 nt
Filed under: uncultured bacterium
Lineage: Bacteria
Description: partial 16S ribosomal RNA
Rfam family: Bacterial small subunit ribosomal RNA
Source: RNAcentral